This 253-nucleotide ribosomal RNA is filed under the name uncultured bacterium. RNAcentral's name for it is "partial 16S ribosomal RNA". It matches the Rfam family "Bacterial small subunit ribosomal RNA", at positions 524 to 776 of the family's 1533-position model. The record is from RNAcentral.
UACGGAGGGGGCAAGCGUUGUUCGGAAUUACUGGGCGUAAAGGGCGCGUAGGCGGCCUGCUAAGUCGAACGUGAAAUCCCCGGGCUCAACCCGGGAACUGCGUCCGAUACUGGCAGGCUUGAAUCCGGGAGAGGGAUGUGGAAUUCCAGGUGUAGCGGUGAAAUGCGUAGAUAUCUGGAGGAACACCGGUGGCGAAGGCGGCAUCCUGGACCGGCAUUGACGCUGAGGCGCGAAAGCCAGGGGAGCAAACGGG